Molecule: transfer RNA, 75 nt
Filed under: Sphaerodactylus townsendi
Lineage: Eukaryota; Metazoa; Chordata; Lepidosauria; Squamata; Sphaerodactylidae
Description: tRNA-Ala
Rfam family: tRNA
About the family: Transfer RNA (tRNA) molecules are approximately 80 nucleotides in length. Their secondary structure includes four short double-helical elements and three loops (D, anti-codon, and T loops). Further hydrogen bonds mediate the characteristic L-shaped molecular structure. tRNAs have two regions of fundamental functional importance: the anti-codon, which is responsible for specific mRNA codon recognition, and the 3' end, to which the tRNAs corresponding amino acid is attached (by aminoacyl-tRNA synthetases). tRNAs cope with the degeneracy of the genetic code in two manners: having more than one tRNA (with a specific anti-codon) for a particular amino acid; and 'wobble' base-pairing, i.e. permitting non-standard base-pairing at the 3rd anti-codon position.
Source: RNAcentral
GGAAGGAUUGUGGCUCAGUGGUAGAACAUCCGCUUGGCAUGUAGAAGGCCGCGGGUUCGAUCCCCGGCAUCUCCA